CCCUUAGAUGUCCGGGGCUGCACGCGCGCUACACUGAAGGAAUCAGUGUGCUAAAACCAUUGUCGAAAGGCAUUGGUAAACCCAUUAAAAUCCUACGUGAUUGGGAUCGGGAAUUGCAAUUAUUUCCCUUGAACGAGGAAUUCCCAGUAAGUGUGGGUCAUAAGCUCGCGUUGAUUACGUCCCUGCCCUUUGUACACACCGCCCGUCGCUGCCCGGGACUGAGCCGUUUCGAGAAAAGCGGGGACUGCUGCUGUCGGGGCUUUCGGGCCUUGGCUUCGGUGGAAACCGCUUUAAUCGCAGUGGCUUGAACCGGGCAAAANUCGUANCA
This 328-nucleotide ribosomal RNA is filed under the name uncultured eukaryote. RNAcentral's name for it is "partial 18S ribosomal RNA". It matches the Rfam family "Eukaryotic small subunit ribosomal RNA", at positions 1470 to 1796 of the family's 1831-position model. The record is from RNAcentral.